Long non-coding RNA from Triticum urartu, 1274 nucleotides. RefSeq lists it as uncharacterized. Lineage: Eukaryota; Viridiplantae; Streptophyta; Magnoliopsida; Poales; Poaceae. The record is from RefSeq and is a predicted model, not a curated record.
CUACGAAAAUAAACCCCCGGCCCCCCACCCGCACGUCUGUCGAUCCCCUCGCCGCCGCCCCGAGACCAACGCACGUCACUCCAUCGAUCCCCUCUCCGGAUGGCCGCCUCCGCCGUUUCUCCGGAUCGCCGCCUCCGCCGUUUCUCCGAAUCUCCGCCACCGCCGUCUGGAUCGCCGCCUCCGUCAGACAUAAGACGCCGCCGCCGUCACAUAGAAGACACCGCCGGGAUCGCGUCAACGUACAGGACCGCCACCGCCGACGUGUGCCGCAGGAACAUCGAAGCAAGACUGCGGCGCGGCUGGUCCAUUGUGCCCUCGAGCGAGCACGGUGGAGACAAACUGAGGGGCGGCGCCGCCGCUGACCUUCGAGAGGAGACGUCGCCGCCGAAGUCCGGGAUCUCCGCCGCGACCUCCCAGAAGCGACGCCCCCGCCUCCGACCACAAAGGGUAUCUCACCUCCUGAUCCGUGAUUCGCCGACCACAGAGGGUAUCUCACCUCCCCAUCACGAGCCAACAGUGCAGGCAAUUCACCAAGUCGUCGGCAAGAUCUUCCAUGAUCCAUUCAUCUCGCGCUAGAGAUGGGGGAGGUGGCGGAAAAGGAUGAGCGAGGGCUCUAGGAGGGGAAGGAAGAGAUGGUGACCAGCACGGCUCCUCCGGCCAGGAAGACGCGGGCACUCUGCUUCGAGCAUAUCGACUUGCUUGCAUGGUGGAUGAGUCUUCUCCAACGGUUGCUCUCAAUUAGUGUAAAUUGGGAUGCUUUUGGCCGCCAUGAUGAUGGAGACCAGGAAGGGUUUGAUGGAUAGGGAGAGGGAGAGGGAGAGGGAUCAGCUCCCAAUCGGCAUGCGGGUCCUGGCCGUCGACGAUGACCCUAUGUGCCUCAAAGUUCUGAUGGUCCUCCUCCGAUGCUGCCAGUAUCAUGGCAUGAAAGAACAAGAUAUAAUGAAGAGUACCUUGGUGAUGAACAUGUGAGCUAGGACGCUUCCCAGUCAGAAUGCCUGUAGGGUUAAGGCAGAUGGCAUGGGUCCAAGUUAUUGACGAAUAUUUCCGCUGCGAUGUUACACUCAAGAUUCAACCAUAAUGGUCCUACUUGUGUAAUACGGUACAUAUGGAUGUAAGACUUUUGUUAUUCAGCUUCUGUGUGUUCAGUGAGCAUUGAUCUCUGGGAUCAUUGUACACGUGCAUUCGGUGAUCACGACUUAUGAGUCAGGAUCCCCACAUGUGCUUCCUUUGAUGGUGGGCUUACCCAUCCUGAUAAUAAAAAUAGUUGCUAUUUU